AACGAACGCUGGCGGCGUGCUUAACACAUAGCAAGUCGAACGCGAAAGGGACUUCGGUCCUGAGUAAAGUGGCGCACGGGUGAGUAACGCGUAGAUAACCUGUCUUCAUGUCUGGAAUAAUACGCCAAAGGGGUACUAAUACCGGAUAUUCUUGCUUUUCAUAAGUUAUGCAAGCAAAGGUGGCCUCUGCAUAUGCUACUGCAUGAAGAGGGGUCUGCGUACCAUUAGCUAGUAGGUGGGGUAAUGGCCUACCUAGGCGACGAUGGUUAGCGGGUCUGAGAGGAUGAUCCGCCACACUGGCACUGGAACACGGGCCAGACUCCUACGGGAGGCAGCAGUGAGGAAUAUUGCGCAAUGGGGGAAACCCUGACGCAGCGACGCCGCGUGAGUGAAGGAAGGCCUUCGGGUCGUAAAGCUCUGUCAAGAGGAAAGAAGUGUACAAUGGCUAAUACCUGUUGUAUUUGACGGUACCUCUAAAGGAAGCACCGGCUAACUCCGUGCCAGCCGCAGC
This 511-nucleotide ribosomal RNA is filed under the name uncultured bacterium. RNAcentral's name for it is "bacterial SSU rRNA". It matches the Rfam family "Bacterial small subunit ribosomal RNA", at positions 29 to 518 of the family's 1533-position model. The record is from RNAcentral.